RNAcentral lists this unclassified non-coding RNA (186 nucleotides) under Glomus sp. Its description in RNAcentral is "partial contains 5.8S ribosomal RNA and internal transcribed spacer 2". The stretch from base 1 to 65 matches the Rfam family "5.8S ribosomal RNA", at positions 84 to 154 of the family's 154-position model. The record is from RNAcentral. Lineage: Eukaryota; Fungi; Glomeromycota; Glomeromycetes; Glomerales; Glomeraceae.
GUGAAUCAUCGAAUUUUUGAACGCAAAUUGCACUCUCUUCAGAGAGUAUGCCUGUUUGAGGGUCAGCCUAAAAAAAAUCGACGUAGUCGCUGUUUCGCGGUGACAUUCGUCGGAAAUUGGGUCAUCUUAAACCUUUGGGUUUUUUAAGCGGUAUAAUUUUCUCUAUGAUUUUACACAAACGUUUAU